Arachis ipaensis is the source of this 102-nucleotide non-coding RNA. The record is from RefSeq and is a predicted model, not a curated record. Lineage: Eukaryota; Viridiplantae; Streptophyta; Magnoliopsida; Fabales; Fabaceae.
CUCUGUUUUCGAAGGAGGGGAGCUUCUAAAGCGUACAAGAAAAGGAGAUCUUCACUGGAAGCAAGUAUCUUUCAAUAUGAAUUCAAAUUUACAGGUAAUUGC